AUUUGGGAAAGGUUUCUUUGGAGGGAGCUGUUGCUGUCCAAGCAAAGGAGGCAUCACAGAGGAUGCUCUCUGCUUCCACUCUAGUCUAACGGUGGUGAGAUCUUCCAUGGGACCGUUCACAGAGGUUGAAAUGUGUUCCAUGCAUAGGCUGGUGCCUAAUGCCCACCUGAGAGGGUGAAAGCAACCUGUGGCCACAAAAGAGAAGCGGCUGCCUUGGGAUGGAUGAGCACUGCUAGCGUUUGUCAAAGGAAGCAAGAGAAACCUCAUUAAAUUGGAGUCGGGAGGCCAAAAAGGGGAGCUCUCAUCGCUACAUCAAUAGCAGAGCCCAACGGGAAGAAAGACUUCCUUUUCUUGACCAGCAAGAACCUCAGCCAAUGAGAAACUGUCACAACUCAGCCAAUGGAAAGCCCCUACCCCUCAACCUCUUUGUUUACAAUUGCCCUCCCAACUUCCUCUUCCC
This 460-nucleotide long non-coding RNA is filed under the name Equus caballus (horse). RNAcentral's name for it is "lncRNA (ENSECAG00000058193.1)". Lineage: Eukaryota; Metazoa; Chordata; Mammalia; Perissodactyla; Equidae. The record is from RNAcentral.